This 300-nucleotide unclassified non-coding RNA is filed under the name uncultured Ripartites. RNAcentral's name for it is "partial contains 5.8S ribosomal RNA, internal transcribed spacer 2, and large subunit ribosomal RNA". The stretch from base 1 to 52 matches the Rfam family "5.8S ribosomal RNA", at positions 103 to 154 of the family's 154-position model. Lineage: Eukaryota; Fungi; Basidiomycota; Agaricomycetes; Agaricales; Tricholomataceae. The record is from RNAcentral.
AACGCACCUUGCGCUCCUUGGUAUUCCGAGGAGCAUGCCUGUUUGAGUGUCAUUAAACUAUCAACCUUUCCUACUUUUAUUAGUAAGGUCAGGCUUGGAUAUGGGAGUUGCAGGCUUUGCAAUAAGUCGGCUCUCCUUAAAUUCAUUAGCAGAACCUUUGUGAAACAGCUAUUGGUGUGAUAAUUAUCUACGCCGUUGGUUGUGAAGCUUUAUAUGAGGCUCAGCUUCUAACUGUCUAUUAACUUGGACAAUUUUUGACAUUUUGACCUCAAAUCAGGUAGGACUACCCGCUGAACUCAA